Small nucleolar RNA from Ictidomys tridecemlineatus (thirteen-lined ground squirrel), 145 nucleotides. NCBI's taxonomy places the organism in Eukaryota, Metazoa, Chordata, Mammalia, Rodentia, Sciuridae. The record is from Ensembl.
UUAGGACAUUAUAUCUUAUCCAGGAACAAAUUAGGAUGUCAUAAACUCACAAAUGCAGGUAAUAUGCUACAUGAGGGGCAAGGUUUUCACUAACCCUCCACUCUGGCCUAAUGAAUGGAGUUUGAUAGUAAUCCUGGCUAAAAUU